This 23-nucleotide non-coding RNA is filed under the name Cricetulus griseus (Chinese hamster). Lineage: Eukaryota; Metazoa; Chordata; Mammalia; Rodentia; Cricetidae. The record is from RNAcentral.
GAUGUUGGACGUUUCGUGGAACC